This 476-nucleotide ribosomal RNA is filed under the name uncultured bacterium. RNAcentral's name for it is "partial 16S ribosomal RNA". It matches the Rfam family "Bacterial small subunit ribosomal RNA", at positions 30 to 507 of the family's 1533-position model. The record is from RNAcentral.
AUUGAACGCUGGCGGCAUGCCUUACACAUGCAAGUCGAACGGUAACAGGUUAAGCUGACGAGUGGCGAACGGGUGAGUAAUGUAUCGGAACGUGCCCAGUCGUGGGGGAUAACUGCUCGAAAGAGCAGCUAAUACCGCAUACGACCUGAGGGUGAAAGCGGGGGAUCGCAAGACCUCGCGCGAUUGGAGCGGCCGAUAUCAGAUUAGGUAGUUGGUGAGGUAAAGGCUCACCAAGCCGACGAUCUGUAGCUGGUCUGAGAGGACGACCAGCCACACUGGGACUGAGACACGGCCCAGACUCCUACGGGAGGCAGCAGUGGGGAAUUUUGGACAAUGGGCGCAAGCCUGAUCCAGCCAUGCCGCGUGCGGGAAGAGGCCUUCGGGUUGUAAACCGCUUUUGUCAGGGAAGAAAAGGUUCUGGCUAAUACCUGGGACUCAUGACGGUACCUGAAGAAUAAGCACCGGCUAACUACGUG